GACGAACGCUGGCGGCGUGCUUAACACAUGCAAGUCGAACGGAAAGGCCCUGCUUUUGCGUGGUGCUUGAGUGGCGAACGGGUGAGUAACACGUGAGUAACCUGCCCUUGACUUUGGGAUAACUUCAGGAAACUGGGGCUAAUACCGCAUAGGAGCUCCUGCUGCAUGGUGGGGGUUGGAAAGUUUCGGCGGUUGGGGAUGGACUCGCGGCUUAUCAGCUUGUUGGUGGGGUAGUGGCUUACCAAGGCUUUGACGGGUAGCCGGCCUGAGAGGGUGACCGGGCACAUUGGGACUGAGAUACGGCCCAGACUCCUACGGGAGGCAGCAGUGGGAAAUAUUGCGCAAUGGGCGGAAGCCUGAUGCAGCAACGCCGCGUGCGGGAUGACGGCCUUCGGGUUAUAAACCGCUUUCGCCUGUGACGAAGCGUGAGUGACGGUAAUGGAUAAAGAAGCACCGGCUAACUACGUG
This 468-nucleotide ribosomal RNA is filed under the name uncultured bacterium. RNAcentral describes it as "partial 16S ribosomal RNA". It matches the Rfam family "Bacterial small subunit ribosomal RNA", at positions 28 to 507 of the family's 1533-position model. The record is from RNAcentral.